CGGUAACACCGCCCACCUCGAGUGGUAGCCACUAUUAUUGGGCCUAAAGCGUUCGUAGCCGGUUUGGUAAAUUCUUGGGUAAAUCGUACCGCUUAACGGUGCGGAUUCCGGGGACACUACCAGACUUGAGACCGGGGGAGAUCAGAGGUACUUGUGGGGGAGCGGUGAAAUGUUGUAAUCCUGCAGGGACCACCAGUGGCGAAGGCGUCUGAUCAGAACGGCUCUGACGGUGAGGAACGAAACCCUGGGGCGCAAACGGGAUUAGAUACCCCGGUAGUCCAGGGCGUAAACGCUGCUGACUUGGUGUUGGGGAUCCUACGAGGAUGUCCAGUGCUGGCGCGAAGGUAUUAAGUCAGCCGCCUGGGGAGUACGGUCGCAAGACUGAAACUUAAAGGAAUUGGCGGGGGAGCACUGCAACGUGUGGAGCGUGCGGUUUAAUUGGAUUCAACGCCGGAAAACUCACCGGGGGCGACGGUUACAUGAAGGCCAAGCUGAUGACUUUGCCUGAUUUUCCGAGAGGUGGUGCAUGGCCGCCGUCAGUUCGUACCGUAAGGCGUUCUGUUAAGUCAGAUAACGAACGAGACCUCCGUCACCAUUUGCUAUUCUUCUCUCCGGAGAGGGAGCACUAUGGUGGUACCGCCACUGUUAAAGUGGAGGAAGGAGGGGGCAACGGUAGGUCAGUAUGCCCCGAAUCUCCCGGGCUACACGCGCGCUACAAAGGGCAGGACAAUGGGCUUCGACACCGAAAGGUGGAGGCAAUCCCGAAACCUGCUCGUAAUUCGGAUUGAGGGCUGCAAUUCGCCCUCAUGAAGCUGGAAUACGUAGUAAUCGCGGGUCAACAUCCCGCGGUGAAUAUGCCCCUGCUCC
RNAcentral lists this ribosomal RNA (867 nucleotides) under uncultured archaeon. RNAcentral's name for it is "bacterial SSU rRNA". It matches the Rfam family "Archaeal small subunit ribosomal RNA", at positions 468 to 1336 of the family's 1478-position model. The record is from RNAcentral.